Molecule: ribosomal RNA, 423 nt
Filed under: uncultured bacterium
Lineage: Bacteria
Description: bacterial SSU rRNA
Rfam family: Bacterial small subunit ribosomal RNA
Source: RNAcentral
GAGAGUGGCGAACGGGUGAGUAAUAUAUCGGAACGUGCCCAGUCGGUGGGGAUAACGUAGCGAAAGUUACGCUAAUACCGCAUACGAUCUACGGAUGAAAGCGGGGGACUCGCAAGAGCCUCGCGCGAUUGGAGCGGCCGAUAUCAGAUUAGGUAGUUGGUGAGGUAAAGGCUCACCAAGCCGACGAUCUGUAGCUGGUCUGAGAGGACGACCAGCCACACUGGGACUGAGACACGGCCCAGACUCCUACGGGAGGCAGCAGUGGGGGAAUUUUGGACAAUGGGCGCAAGCCUGAUCCAGCAAUGCCGCGUGCAGGAUGAAGGCCUUCGGGUUGUAAACUGCUUUUGUACGGAACGAAACGGUGAGCUCUAAUACAGUUUGCUAAUGACGGUACCGUAAGAAUAAGCACCGGCUAACUACGUG